Molecule: long non-coding RNA, 1259 nt
Filed under: Saimiri boliviensis boliviensis (Bolivian squirrel monkey)
Lineage: Eukaryota; Metazoa; Chordata; Mammalia; Primates; Cebidae
Description: lncRNA (ENSSBOG00000036535.1)
Source: RNAcentral
CUUCAGAUGUCUGCCUGCAGCACACGUCAGGAUGCUGAAUUUAUUAGUGUUUCCUCUUCUCCAGUGCCGGCUUUCCUUGAACCACAUUAUCAUAUGCCACAGCAGAAGCAAGUUGUGUUGGCAGUAGGAAACAAGAUAAAGCGAAGAACUCAACUGAGAGAAGGUUUUGAACAUGAUGAUGGAGAAAUAACACUCUUGGGAGAAAUGAAGAUACUUUUUCCUCCCUGGUUUACCUGAUUUUCCAGCACCCAGUGAUAAGAGAGGAUGGCAUUCAUGAUGUGUACACCUGCAGUGAUAUCUUCACCUUUCUAAAACAGAUGCCAUGGUAGACAUUUUGCCAGCCCUCCUUUCACCAUACACACAGCUUGGUGUACCCUGGCAGACCUUUUACCUAAUUUCUUAACCCUCCUAUAUUCCAAGACAGAAUUAAGCACAUGGUAAAACCUGAAUGAGUCUGGGCUCAGUGGCUCAUGCCUAUAAUCCCAGCACUUUGGGAGGCCGAGGGGUGGGCAGAUCACUUGAGGUCAGGAGUUUGAGACCAGCCUGGACAACGCAGUGAAACCCUUUCUCUACUAAAAUACAAAAAUUAGCUGGGCAUGGUAGCUUGCACCUGUAAUCCCAUUGGCUCUGAAGGCUGUGGCAGGAGAAUCAUCUGAACCUGGGAAGUGGAGAUUGCAGUGAGCUGAGAUUGUGCUACUGCACUCCAGCCUGAGCGGCAGAGCAAAACUCCAUCUCCAGAAAAAAAAAAAAAAAAGAAAACCUGAGGUCAGACAUGGUGGUUCAUGCCUGUAAUCCCAGCACUUUGAGAGCCUGAGGUGUGGGCAGAUAACUUGAAGUCAGGAGUUUGAGAACAACCUGGGCAAUGUAGUAAAACCCCAUUUCUACUGAAAAUACAAAUUAGCUGGGUGUAGUAGCAGAUGCCUGUAAUCCCAGAUCUGGGGAAGCUGAGACAUGAGAAUUGCUUGAACCAAGGAGGAGGAGGUUCCAGUGAGCCAAGAUUGUGCCACUGCAUGCCAGCCUGGACAACAGAACAAGAUUCCAUCAUAAAAACAAACAAACAAAAAACUGAAUGAAUGGAAGCAGAUACGUGCAGAGAGAAACAUUGAUUUAACUUCAGGAAGAUAGACAGCUAGUAUUUUGGUAUACUUGUGUAUUGCUAUCUACUAGUAUAUCUUCAAUUGUUGUAUGGAUAUAGAACUACUGGAUUGUUCUUUAUGUGAUUACUCCUUCCCAGUUUUAGUAAAAUAUUCCAAUUUAAG